GAUGACGGUGGUGCUUGCACCGCCUGAUUAGUGGCGAACGGGUGAGUAACACGUGAGUAACCUGCCCCUCACUUCGGGAUAACCUCGGGAAAUCGUGGCUAAUACCGGAUACGAACACUCAUCGCAUGGUGGGUGUUGGAAAGAUUUAUCGGUGGGGGAUGGACUCGCGGCCUAUCAGUUUGUUGGUGAGGUAAUGGCUCACCAAGGCGAUGACGGGUAGCCGGCCUGAGAGGGCGACCGGCCACACUGGGACUGAGACACGGCCCAGACUCCUACGGGAGGCAGCAGUGGGGAAUAUUGCACAAUGGGCGAAAGCCUGAUGCAGCGACGCCGCGUGAGGGAUGACGGCCUUCGGGUUGUAAACCUCUUUCAGUAGGGAAGAAGCGAGAGUGACGGUACCUGCAGAAGAAGCGCCGGCUAACUACGUGCCAGCAGCCGCGGUAAUACGUAGGGCGCAAGCGUUGUCCGGAAUUAUUGGGCGUAAAGAGCUUGUAGGUGGCUUGUCGCGUCUGCCGUGAAAACCCGAGGCUCAACCUCGGGCGUGCGGUGGGUACGGGCAGGCUAGAGUGUGGUAGGGGAGACUGGAACUCCUGGUGUAGCGGUGAAAUGCGCAGAUAUCAGGAAGAACACCGAUGGCGAAGGCAGGUCUCUGGGCCAUUACUGACACUGAGAAGCGAAAGCAUGGGUAGCGAACAGGAUUAGAUACCCUGGUAGUCCAUGCCGUAAACGUUGGGCACUAGGUGUGGGGGACAUUCCACGUUUUCCGCGCCGUAGCUAACGCAUUAAGUGCCCCGCCUGGGGAGUACGGCCGCAAGGCUAAAACUCAAAGGAAUUGACGGGGGCCCGCACAAGCGGCGGAGCAUGCUGAUUAAUUCGAUGCAACGCGAAGAACCUUACCAAGGCUUGACAUGCACUGGACGGCUGCAGAGAUGUGGCUU
Molecule: ribosomal RNA, 938 nt
Filed under: Brachybacterium saurashtrense
Lineage: Bacteria; Bacillati; Actinomycetota; Actinomycetes; Micrococcales; Dermabacteraceae
Description: bacterial SSU rRNA
Rfam family: Bacterial small subunit ribosomal RNA
Source: RNAcentral